RNAcentral lists this ribosomal RNA (469 nucleotides) under uncultured bacterium. Its description in RNAcentral is "partial 16S ribosomal RNA". It matches the Rfam family "Bacterial small subunit ribosomal RNA", at positions 28 to 507 of the family's 1533-position model. The record is from RNAcentral.
GACGAACGCUGGCGGCGUGCUUAACACAUGCAAGUCGAACGAUGAAGCACUAGCUUGCUGGUGUGGAUUAGUGGCGAACGGGUGAGUAACACGUGAGUAACCUGCCCUUCACUCUGGGAUAAGCCUGGGAAACUGGGUCUAAUACUGGAUACGACCGCACUUUGCUUGGUGUGUCGGUGGAAUGUUUUUGUGGUUGGGAUUGGACUCGCGGCCUAUCAGCUUGUUGGUGGGGUAAUGGCCGACCAAGGCGACGACGGGUAGCCGGCCUGAGAGUGCGACCGGCCACACUGGGACUGAGACACGGCCCAGACUCCUACGGGAGGCAGCAGUGGGGGAUAGUGCACGAUGGGCGGAAGCCUGAUGCAGCGACGCCGCGUGGGGGAUGACGGCCUUCGGGUUGUAAACCGCUUUCGCCAGGGACGAAGCUAACGUGACGGUACCUGGAGAAGAAGCACCGGCUAACUACGUG